ACGGAUUAUGUUGAUCCGUAUGAGUCGUACGAAUUAACUUGAUCCGUACGACUCAUAUGAAUCAAUUUGAU
This 71-nucleotide microRNA precursor is filed under the name Glycine max (soybean). Its description in RNAcentral is "miR4410 stem-loop (gma-MIR4410)". Lineage: Eukaryota; Viridiplantae; Streptophyta; Magnoliopsida; Fabales; Fabaceae. The record is from miRBase by way of RNAcentral.